Molecule: RNA transcript, 6278 nt
Organism: Hyposmocoma kahamanoa
Lineage: Eukaryota; Metazoa; Arthropoda; Insecta; Lepidoptera; Cosmopterigidae
Exons: 11
Source: RefSeq, a predicted model, not a curated record
GUUACACUUUUCGAUAAUAUUUUUUAAUUUGUAACUUUUAAUUUUGUGUUGUGCUGUACGCUUUCUAUUUUGUGCGUGUUGAAACAAAGGUAGUGGAUAUGAUGUCAUUUUCAUGAUUUAUUAUCCUUGGAAACAUGAGUGUUAGUGUUGAGAAGUCCAGUCCUUUAUUGGAAGGGACCAACCCAGCGUUGGACCAUGCCAUAUCUAAGUCCUCAUCAGACAGUGUGAGCCUAAACAAAAAUGGUGAACGUGAUUUUAAAUCUCAAGAAAACGGGGAGAAAUCAGAACCCACUACCCCGAAAUUACACCCAAUGGCCUUUACCAUUGAUUUUGGCGAUUCUAAACAGAUAGACAAUAAAAGACUUGAAAAUUUAGCUAAGAAAUCGCAAGCUCGACAUCAGAGGGUACAAUCUAUGUCUGCCAGUCUAACAAGACCUAGUCCAACCGUUCAGAAACCUCCAAUGAGCGCUAAAUUGCCGCGCAAAGCGCAAGGCUAUAAUUCGGAAGGUUACUUCUCGUCAGACCAGGAAGACAGUGGUUUGUCCGGAUCUGUAAAAUUAAGAAGCAGUCCAUUAGCCCAAAAUUCCCAAAUAACAAGUCCAGUUUCAACAAGACAUAUCAGAUCGCCUAAUAAUGAUGCUUUCCAGCCUAAACGUACGUCCAAGAGUCCAAUUGUAGAUAGCAUUAUGUCUAGAAGUGACAAUUUUACUGCACGUCAAGGGCUAAACUUGCCAUUGAAGAAAGCUAAUAGUUCCUUUAUGAGAGAUGUCUAUAGGAGUCCAAGUUACGGUACUUUGUAUCAACCAAAACAGAUGGAUAUUAUAGAUCAGAGUCCUGAAGCAAUAAUGCUCACAGAUAUUUCAAGUCCUGAAUUAGACAUUUUAACACCAGAUAAUGGUUUGUCUACUCCGGAACAUAAUAAAAGUCCUUUAAUGAGAAAAGUUAGAGCGUCAUCGGAAACUCCUGACUUAUUAUUUCAAAGCUACACUCCUAAAGUCGAAUCACUGUAUAUUCAUGAUGAUGUAGACAGAGAGUCAAAUAACUCUUCUACUGGGACAUAUACAAUCGAAGGUGACAAUUACACAGAAGAACAGAAAGCGAGGAUGAGUAUUGAUCGAACAUUUGGAACUGAUCUUUUAGACGGUGCUAUCGAAGACACAUUGAAGAGACAUUCAUUGAGUAAGGAAAGGGACCCUGAAUUAAUAUUUGACUUCUCUAACCAUGUUAUUACCAAGGAACCAAGACGAGAUCUAACUCUCCGCAGUCCACUUACAAGUAACUCAACAUUUGAUAUACCAAAACAGAAAGACAGGAAUGUUCUCGAAAUUUCCUGUUGCUACGAAUCGCCAACUGAAAAUGACCUAGCGGUACAAACUUCCAAACAAAUAAAAUCAACCAGAAGCUAUUUAGAGAAAAUAAAGAACAGAGUACGUACAAUUACAGAGAAAACUUUUCCAAAAUCUCCACCAAAAGCGCUGUCUGAUCCUGAUUAUGGUAAUUUCACAUCUGUUACUACCUCAGGUGUUUUAAGUUCUAAAUAUACUUCUAAACCUGAUGUUAGAAUCCCUCCAAGAAGACGUAGCAGUUUAGCAAAAUCAGAAAUAGACCAAACAGAUUAUGUACACCGUUUAUCUAGAGAAUCGUCUGUACCGGUGUCUCUAAUAGGCAGCAAACCGCUAAUAUUUGAGGAUACACAUUUUGAAAGCACAGCUCUAAAGUCUGCUCAAAAAGCAUUGAGAGAUGACAGUGGGGUUUCUUCUGAUAUAACUCCAGAACAAGUUGUAGGUCAACUGUCUUACUUGAGUCUAAACCGUUGCAAAGGUGAUAAAACUUGGAUUCAUGACUGGGCGGAGAGUGUAAAAAAGUAUAAUAACAAUUCAUUGUGUCCUACAAGUUCAAGUACAACAUUUACCGUGGAAAAUGAAAGGCCGCCAAUGAGUCCCAGACAUGUUACAAAUCCACGCAGCCCGCAUGCAAGCACACCGACGAAAAUACCAAGUCCUGUUGGUACUUUACUUCGCAGAAGGACUCCGGAUCUUAUACCAACUCAAGACACAGAAGCGUACCUUCUAAAAACACAAAACGCAAUUACAAAUUUGCAAGCAAAACUCCAGUCUUCUCGAACAACCAACUUCGGGAACUCACCACUUACGUCCAGUCUCAUAAGCGAGAAAACAGCCGCAUCAAAACUUCCCUUAGCACAACUUAGUAGGUCCAACUCACUUAACUACAGAUUACGUAGAAAAGAUAACUCUGGGGACAGCAGUCCUUUAAGAAGUCCUGGACAUUACGUCAUUACUGGUUCCAGUAAACUUCCCGAAAGCACUAAGAUAUUCCUAAACUCGGCUUCAAAGUCUUUAGACCAAGAUAGAAGGAAAGAUCUCAACAUGAACAGUCCGAAUUCAGAAAGAGGGUUACUGAGCAAUAGCUCCGACGAUAAAACACUAUCAAAUAGACCGCAAUAUGAUGUAGAUGCGAUAUUGUCGCCACAUAAAAAAAGUCACGCGCGACAUAAAUCUUUUGACGGUAGAACCACUGAAUUUGACUUUAAUAAUGCUAAUCAAACGGUAUGUCUCAAGACUGUGUUAAAGAAUAACGCUUUGGAAACGAAAUACUCUAGAAUCGAACCAACACGUUGCGUGGAUACAAAGAAACACCAGAGAGUUUCCAGUGAUAGCAACAGUAAGAAACUUAAUGCAUUCGGUUGUACGAUAAAGCGAUCAAGUUCCUCUAACAUGGUUCAUAAGAAUAAUAAUUAUUUGGAACCUAUCAGAGUUACCGCUAGAAGAUCGAGUGGUAAUUCUGAUUAUAAAGAUUAUUCGGACGAAUCGGAAACCGAUUACGAGAAAUCGGAAAGACAUAAACGUCCGUUACAUAGAGGUAGAAUCGAUUCUCAAGAUUUGAAAUCUAUAGCUCCGGCUAAUUCUCCGAGAUGUCCGAGUACACCGGAAAUGCAGAGGAAAUUCGGACCAGGAUUGGUUAGAAACUCAGUCAGAGUGACCAAUAAGGAACGAAGCGUUAAUACUAGAAUGUCCGAACCACCAAUGGCAAGAGAGGAAAGAAAGCCUGUUGGUCAUCAGAGUCGUAAGAUUUCGGAGCCUACUAGGCAAGCUGUUUUGAAUAGGCUUACUAAAUCUAGGUCUUCUACGAGGGAAUUUACGCCUAAAAACCUGGAAAAAGGAGCCAAAAAACCAAGUCAACACCGUUCAUCAUCGGCUCUAGCAACGAAAGAGAUAGAGUUCUCAAACUGGAAGAAGCGAGCGUCUUACGAUCCUAUGAAAGCCGCGCGGGAGGGAAGGAGACAGCAAAUGGCGAAACGACUGGAGUGUAACAAAGAUGACCAGAGUUCUCCCAGCCAUUCAUCCCCAGUUCAUCGUUCCCAGUCAUUCCACACGACGAACAUCGCAGAUCUGACCUUGGACUACUCCUCAGAAGAAAUGGAAGAGGAUCAAACCCUACCUAUAGACCCGAUGAUCACGUCAACACAUUCUGAUAUUUUGGACUUGAGAUCGAAAGCAGACGAGCUGAGACCGCGGGACUUGAGAAGACAGGCCAUGACCAACGAUGUAGUGCUUUCGAGAGAUUAUGUUACUAAUUUCCAAAUAAACCAGCCUACAGACAAAGCAAAGCGACGUGAAGUGGACAAAAGAAAAACGUUCAUCAUAGACGACAUAACGCCUACCAAAGAGAACAUAGACUUUCUGACGAAACGCGACGAGACCAUAGACAAGAGGAAAACUUUCAUUUUGGAUAGCGACACGAAUUCUACUACUAAUGGGAGUAGUCCUCGAAAUUCUUCUAUUUUUAGUCAUGAGAAGACGUCGCUAACUACGGGUACAAGCGAUACGGAAGGCGAAAGCGGCACAGAAAGCGCACCUGUCGUAAUGCGACACCCGUCCGGCAAACGACCGCCUGCGCAGCCCAAACAGAGGUACAGCGGUGAUUACUCAAUGUCAUCGUCAACCACCUCCAUAAGCCAGAAAAAGACAAAAGAAAUCCAGCCGCGCUACCUAGAUAUAUCUAAAUACAAAAACGAAAGCUCUCCAAAGAAUUUCCUGCGUCGCGAUCCGAGCAAAACCUACGUCAACGUGUUGGGAGAACGCCCCAGCAAGGGUAGUGCUAGACAACAUGAGAUGGAACAAAAGAAACAGGAAUUAGAGAAGUGGAAACGAAGGGCGUCAUACGAUCCGAGAAAAGCUGCGGCGCUUGGCAAAACCGCGAAAGUGCCUGCGAAAACCGCCAGAGCGUGACAGAUGUCAAAUGCAUGCAAUUCUGGCUAAAUGUCACUGAAAGGCGGCCAUCUUGUUUUGUAAGUAGCGUACUCCGAUCUCAGUCAUUCCACGGGCCGGAAUUGACAACAAGUUUCCGCUACCAGCCGCCAUCGCAAAUCGCCGAGAGCUACGACGCAUCUAGCGACAACGACUUUUGAACGACACCACGACGGUGCUUGUGAUAUCGUGUGUUGAGUAUGAGUUGCGAGUGAGUUGUGAAUGGCAAAUGGUAGCGCUGCUGGUGUUGCUAUUUUGAUGAUUUUAUUUCAAAGUCGCGCGUAAAAAAAUGUUGCUGUUUUAAAACACGUGAGAUUGUAAAAAUGCUAUGGCUAAAAAUUUUCUUAAAUUUUGAACACAUCGAAUAUUAGGUACUGAAAAAGUUUUAUUUCCUUUACAAUAACAAUAAAAUCAUAAAAAUACAAAACCAGUAGAAAUUAGUAUAGUUUUAUAAAGAGUUCAGCGACUUUGGAUACAGGUCCUUGUAAUUUAAAUAAGAUUUCUAAAGUAGGAUUCGAAAACGGAGACUUUUGCCAUUUUAAAAGUUUAAUGAGAUUUUGUAGCGCUUGAAAACAAAUGUAAAUUUUUUUGAAGCUUAAGAAGGUAAUUAGCAGACAUUGUAAAAAGUAUGUGUCGAAUUAUUUUGCAGUAACUUUCCGAGAAAGAAGCAAUUUUCUGUAGUGAUAUUGGCUUAAGGAUAAGUUUUUUGUUAUCAGUGCCCGUACGGAUUAAAACUGUUGCUUUAUGAUAAGAAAAAUUAAAAUGUCAUAUUUGACACUAAAUUUGGCGCCAAAUUAAAGGAUUUUAAGUACAUACGUGUGCAAUUGUUUAUUUUGUACACGAAAAGAAGAGUCAUAUUUUAAUUAUUUUGACGAUUAGUUUCUAUUAUGGACUUGGGUCGAUGCAAUUUUUAAUUAAAUGUGAUUUUUGAAAUAAGAUUAAUUUUUUCAACUUCGCACAAGUUUUAUUUUUAGUGGAAGUUUAUUUUCAACUUUAAGAACAUACACGAAUGGAUGCGUUCAAAAUAACAAAUUCCUUUUUUAAUCUCAUUUGAAAUUAAAAAUGAAUAAUUAUUCGAAUAAAUAAAUGUGAUUUUAUGUAUUAUUCGCAUUAAUUUAGAAACUCUGUAAUCGAAAUAUAGUUAAUGAUUUAUUUUUAAGUUAUGUUUCUAUAAUCCUUUAUGUUUAACUGCUGACUGUUAAAUUUGAACCCUCGAUAUCGCGGGAUUAAUUAAAACAAUUUUUUUAGUACAAGAAAUUAGUCAAAGUAAAAAGAAACUACCGCCAUUUCGGGGUUCAACUAUAACUGGUUAGUUUAUGAUUCGUAUAGUUAUUACAUAUCCACUUAUUAAAAUUAUAAAAUAAUGAAAUCGUCAUACUUUGCUCAUGUCGUCCAAACAUCGAUAUGUCUUGUGUAAUAUUUUAGUCAUAUAAUUUUCUAGUUAUUUAGUUUUACAUUAUAUUAACGUGCAAUAAAUUUUAUAUAAAAUUAUUUUGUCAAUUCAUAUAUGAAAUAAGAAGCCGGAAAUUAUUCGCAUAAUCUGCCGUCCACUAACUAAAACGUGGUUAAGUGACAAAUGGUCAAAUAUCCGUUUUAAAUAGCAAAAGAUAGAGCACAAAAUUCUCCCAAAACAGUUAAAAUUAGUUAACGUAUUCGAUUUGUCGGCACUUAGCCUAACGAUGCAUAACUGAAAUAACAUUAAACAAUUUCAAUAUUAUAAAACUGGGUUAUGGUUUUUGUGAUAUUUAAAAAAACUUCGAUUAGCCAUUUGAUUUCAAUUAGUUAGCGGAUGGCAGUAAUGCAAACAUGCCAGCGUCUCAAAAUCCGGACCUAUUUAUACACUGUCAGAAAAAUAAAGAUUAGUUAUUAAUAGAAAAAUUAUAAAAUCCGGAAUAAAGCUUUUGCUGAUUCGUGAUUUUUUUCAAGUUUUUUGGUACGCGAACAAACAAAAUAAAAUAUUGCUAUUUUUAUAUGUUAGCAGUUUAAGAAUUAUAUACUGUUGUAAUGUUC